This 477-nucleotide ribosomal RNA is filed under the name uncultured organism. RNAcentral describes it as "partial 16S ribosomal RNA". It matches the Rfam family "Bacterial small subunit ribosomal RNA", at positions 331 to 799 of the family's 1533-position model. The record is from RNAcentral.
GUACACUCCUGCGGGAGGCAGCAGUGGGGAAUUUUGGACAAUGGGCGAAAGCCUGAUCCAGCCAUGCCGCGUGCAGGAUGAAGGCCUUCGGGUUGUAAACUGCUUUUGUACGGAACGAAACGGCCUUUUCUAAUAAAGAGGGCUAAUGACGGUACCGUAAGAAUAAGCACCGGCUAACUACGUGCCAGCAGCCGCGGUAAUACGUAGGGUGCAAGCGUUAAUCGGAAUUACUGGGCGUAAAGCGUGCGCAGGCGGUUAUGUAAGACAGUUGUGAAAUCCCCGGGCUCAACCUGGGAACUGCAUCUGUGACUGCAUAGCUAGAGUACGGUAGAGGGGGAUGGAAUUCCGCGUGUAGCAGUGAAAUGCGUAGAUAUGCGGAGGAACACCGAUGGCGAAGGCAAUCCCCUGGACCUGUACUGACGCUCAUGCACGAAAGCGUGGGGAGCAAACAGGAUUAGAUACCCGAGUAGUCCCAUG